This 73-nucleotide transfer RNA is filed under the name Paramuricea clavata. It matches the Rfam family "tRNA". From Rfam's summary of the family: Transfer RNA (tRNA) molecules are approximately 80 nucleotides in length. The record is from Rfam by way of RNAcentral. Lineage: Eukaryota; Metazoa; Cnidaria; Anthozoa; Malacalcyonacea; Plexauridae.
GACCACAUAGCUCAGUUGGCAGAGCAUUGGGCUAGUAUUCCAAAGGUUGUAGGUUCGAUUCCCACCGUGGCCA